This 267-nucleotide ribosomal RNA is filed under the name uncultured Actinomycetales bacterium. RNAcentral's name for it is "partial 16S ribosomal RNA". It matches the Rfam family "Bacterial small subunit ribosomal RNA", at positions 524 to 789 of the family's 1533-position model. Lineage: Bacteria; Bacillati; Actinomycetota; Actinomycetes; Actinomycetales. The record is from RNAcentral.
UACGUAGGGCGCAAGCGUUGUCCGGAAUUAUUGGGCGUAAAGAGCUCGUAGGCGGUCUGUCGCGUCUGCUGUGAAAUCCCGAGGCUCAACCUCGGGCUUGCAGUGGGUACGGGCAGACUAGAGUGCGGUAGGGGAGAAUGGAAUUCCUGGUGUAGCGGUGGAAUGCGCAGAUAUCAAGGAGGAACACCGAUGGCGAAGGCAGUUCUCUGGGCCGUAACUGACGCUGAGGAGCGAAAGCGUGGGGAGCGAACAGGAUUAGAUACCCUG